UACGGGGGGGGCAAGCGUUGUUCGGAAUUACUGGGCGUAAAGGGCUCGUAGGCGGCUUGCUAAGUCAGACGUGAAAGCCCUCGGCUCAACCUGGGAACUGCGUCCGAUACUGGCAGGCUUGAAUCCGGGAGAGGGAUGUGGAAUUCCAGGUGUAGCGGUGAAAUGCGUAGAUAUCUGGAGGAACACCGGUGGCGAAGGCGGCAUCCUGGACCGGUAUUGACGCUGAGGUGCGAAAGCGUGGGGAGCAAACAGG
Molecule: ribosomal RNA, 253 nt
Filed under: uncultured bacterium
Lineage: Bacteria
Description: partial 16S ribosomal RNA
Rfam family: Bacterial small subunit ribosomal RNA
Source: RNAcentral